AAAAAAAGAGUACAAAAGAACACUAGAUUUGCCAUCAGAUGGCAUGGGUUCAAACCCCAUUUUUGUUA
Molecule: transfer RNA, 68 nt
Filed under: Monodelphis domestica (gray short-tailed opossum)
Lineage: Eukaryota; Metazoa; Chordata; Mammalia; Didelphimorphia; Didelphidae
Rfam family: tRNA
About the family: Transfer RNA (tRNA) molecules are approximately 80 nucleotides in length. Their secondary structure includes four short double-helical elements and three loops (D, anti-codon, and T loops).
Source: Rfam by way of RNAcentral